UCCCCGUUACCGGGGCAGUCUGAUUAGAAAAAUCCAACUAAUCAUAAGGGUUGCGCUCGUUGAAGGACUUAACCUAACAUCUCACGACACGAGCUGACGACGGCCAUGCAGCACCUGUCACUGUGUUCCCGAAGGCACACUCUGCUUUCGCAGAACUUCACAGGAUGUCAAGCCCUGGUAAGGUUCUUCGCUUACCAUCGAAUUAAAGAACAUCAUCCGCUGCUUGUGCGGGUCCCCGUCAAUUCCUUUGAGUUUUAAUCUUGCGACCGUACUCCCCAGGCGGGAUGCUUAACGCGUUAGCUUCGCUACUGAACGGGUCGAUACGUCCAACAGCUAGCAUCCAUAGUUUACGGCGUGGACUAC
This 363-nucleotide unclassified non-coding RNA is filed under the name uncultured bacterium. RNAcentral's name for it is "contains 16S-23S intergenic spacer region". The record is from RNAcentral.